RNAcentral lists this ribosomal RNA (467 nucleotides) under uncultured bacterium. RNAcentral's name for it is "partial 16S ribosomal RNA". It matches the Rfam family "Bacterial small subunit ribosomal RNA", at positions 28 to 507 of the family's 1533-position model. The record is from RNAcentral.
GAUGAACGCUGACAGAAUGCUUAACACAUGCAAGUCCACUUGAAUUUGGGUUUUUACCUUCGGUUUGGGUGGCGGACGGGUGAGUAACGCGUAAAGAACUUGCCUCACAGCUAGGGACAACAUUUGGAAACGAAUGCUAAUACCUAAUAUUAUGAUAAUAGCGCCUCCUAUAAUUAUGAAAGCUAUAAGCGCUGUGAGAGAGCUUUGCGUCCCAUUAGCUAGUUGGAGAGGUAACGGCUCACCAAGGCGAGGAUGGGUAGCCGGUCUGAGAGGGUGAUCGGCAACAAGGGAACUGAGACACGGCCAUAACUCUUACGGGAGGCAGCAGGGGGGAAUAUUGGAAAAUGGACCGAGAGUGUGAUACAGAAAUUCUGUGUGCACGAUGAAGUUUUUGGGAAUGUAAAGUGCUUGCAGGUGGGAAGAAACAAAUGACGGUACCAACAGAAGAAGUGACGGCUAAAUACGUG